UCUCAACAGAAACCAACUGAGCUGGCGCCUUGAGCUUAGACUUCUAGUCUCCAGAACUUUAAAAGAAAAAUUUGAGGAAUUCAAUUGUACCUCUCCGAGAAGAAAUCUGGGUGUGUCAUACACUUCAAAGGCAGAAACAGCAAGGACCUCUGAUGUUCUGAAAGCUAGAUACACAGAUAUGAAGAGGAAACACGAAUGAAUGAAGGAGACUGGUCCUUCCCUCAACUUAAGCAAGAACAAACAAUGUCAGAAAAAUUGUGAAAGACUUUG
Molecule: long non-coding RNA, 270 nt
Organism: Cervus elaphus (red deer)
Lineage: Eukaryota; Metazoa; Chordata; Mammalia; Artiodactyla; Cervidae
Exons: 3
Source: RefSeq, a predicted model, not a curated record